Arachis ipaensis is the source of this 139-nucleotide non-coding RNA. NCBI's taxonomy places the organism in Eukaryota, Viridiplantae, Streptophyta, Magnoliopsida, Fabales, Fabaceae. The record is from RefSeq and is a predicted model, not a curated record.
UCUUAAAAGCAUACUUUAAAGUCAUUUUCGCAAGUUAAUUGCUUAUUGGAGAACUGAGAAAGUUAAGGAAAACUAUGUUGAAGGGGAAAUCAAACUUGAUUAAGGUCAAAUUUUUAAGAGCAAAUGUUACAGAGUAAAA